Long non-coding RNA from Gasterosteus aculeatus aculeatus (three-spined stickleback), 4258 nucleotides. The record is from Ensembl. NCBI's taxonomy places the organism in Eukaryota, Metazoa, Chordata, Actinopteri, Perciformes, Gasterosteidae.
AGACUGCAGCCUUACUGCUGUGAAUGAUGUAUUGGUCUAUCGGGUGGAGAAGGCUGUGAUUUAGAGCUAAUACCUUGAGAUAAACCUCUGAUUCCUGCUGUUGUCAUGUAGAUGUACACAGAGACGCAUUAACAUAUAAAAGUACUUACACAGAGACGCACUAACAUAUAAAAGUUAUUUGAGGAAAUUGCACUUCUGAGUUUGUACCCUAUGGUUGAAUGCACUUAUUGUAAGUCGCUUUGGAUAAAAGCGUCAGCUAAAUGAAAUGUAAUGUAAUGUAAAAAGUACUUACACAGAGACGCACUAACAUAUUGGUAUGCACAGAGACUAGCUAAACAUAAAAAGCAAAUACAGAAAUACAGUUUAACAACCACAAAUAUAUAAUGUAGAUUUACACAUCCAUACAAACAUGAAAUAAUUAAAAUGUGCAUCAAAUUAAAAUAAUUGGAUCUAUGAAUCUUGUCUCACAUCCUGAUGAUCCUCCUCACGUCUCUUCUCCUUGUCUGCAGACCAACGGGACGCCAUCAGGACGCCACGUCAACGGGACGCCAUCAGGACGUCACAUCAACCCCUCAGGAGCAAAUCCAGAUCUACGCAUGACACCCCCCCCCCCCCACACACACACACACACACACACACACACACACACACACACAGAUGUACACACAGACACACUAUCAUUUGGUUCUAAACAAUGACACACACUAAUAUUUAGAUGUACACAAAGACACAAUAACCAUUAGAUGUACACACAGACACACUAACAAUGAGAUCUACACACAGACACACUAUCAUUUGGUUCUAAACAAUGACACACACUAAUAUUUAGAUGUACACAAAGACAAUAACAAUUAGAUGUACACACAGACACACUAACAAUUAGAUGUACACACAGACACACUAACAUUUGGUUCUAAACACAGACACACACUAAUAUUUAGAUGUACUCAAAGACAACAAUUAGAUGUACACACAGACACACUAACAAUUAGAUCCACACACAGACACACUAACAAUUAGAUGUACACACAGACACACUAACAUUUGGUUCUAAACAAAGACACACACUAACAUUUAGAUGUACACAAAGACACAUUAAUAUUUAGAUGUACACAAAGACACAUUAAUAUUUAGAUGUACACACAGACACACUAACAAUUAGAUCUACACACAGACACACUAACAAUUAGAUGUACACACGGACACAUCCUGAUGACCAUCCUCACGUCUCUUCUCCUUGUCUGCAGACCAACAGGACGCCAUCAGGACGCCACGCCAUCGGGACGUCAUCAGGAUUCCAUCAGGACGCCAUCAGGACGCCGCGUCAACCCCUCAGGAGCAAAUCCAGAUCUACUCAUGACACACACAGACACACACACAGACACACUAACAUUUAGAUGUACACACAGACACACUAACAAUUAGAUGUACACACAGACACACUCAUUUGGUUUUAAACAAAGACACACACUGAUAUUUAGAUGUACACAAAGACACAAUAACAAUUAGAUCUACACACAGACACACUAACAAUUAGAUGUACACACGGACACACUAACAAUUAGAUCUACACACAUACACACUAACAAUUAGAUGUACACACAGACACAUCCUGAUGACCAUCCUCACGUCUCUUCUCCUUGUCUGCAGACCAACAGGACGCCAUCAGGACGCCACGUCAUCGGGACGCUACGUCAUCGGGACACCAUCAGGACGCUAUCAGGACGCCACGUCAUAGGGACGCCAUAAGGAUUCCAUCAGGACGCCAUCAGGACGCCGCGUCAACCCCUCAGGAGCAAAUCCAGAUCUACUCAUGACACACACACACACCCCCACACACACGCACACACACACAGAUGUACUCAGAGACACACUAACAUUUAGACACGCUGGCAAAUUUAGAUGUACAAUUAGAUGUACACACAGACACACUAACAUUUGGUUCUAAACAAAGACACACACUAACAUUUAGAUGUACACAAAGACACAUUAAUAUUUAGAUGUACACACAGACACACUAACAAUUAGAUGUACACACAGAUACACUAUCAUUUGGUUCUAAACAAAGGCACACACUAACAUUUAGAUGUACACAAAGACACACACUAAUAUUUAGAUGUACACAAAGACAUAUUAAUAUUUAGAUGUACACACAGACACACUAACAUUUAGAUGUACACACAGACACUAACAAUUAGAUGUACACACAGACACACUAACAAUUAGAUCCACACACAGACACACUAACAAUUAGAUGUACACACAGACACACUAACAAUUAGAUCUACACACAGACUCACUAACAAUUAGAUGUACACACGGACACACUAACAAUUAGAUCUACACACAGACACACUAACAAUUAUAUGUACACACAGACACAUCCUGAUGAUCCUCCUCACGUCUCUUCUCCUUGUCUGCAGACCAACAGGACGCCAUCGGGACGCCAUCAGGACACCACGUCAUCGGGACGCCACGUCAUCGGGACGCCAUCAGGACGCCGCGUCAACCCCUCAGGAGCAAUUCCAGAUCUACUCAUGACACACACACACACAGAUGUACUCACAGACACGUUAACAUUAGGUUCUAAACAAAGACACACACUAACAUUUAGAUGUACACAAAGACACAUUAAUAUUUAGAUGUACACACAGACACUUUAACAAUUAGAUCUACACACAGACACACUAACAAUUAGAUGUACACACAGACACACUAACAUAUGGUUCUAAACAAAGACACACACUAACAUUUAGAUGUACACAAAGACACAUUAAUAUUUAGAUGUACACACAGACACACUAACAAUUAGAUGUACACACAGACACACUAACAUUUGGUUCUAAACAAAGACACACACUAAUAUUUAGAUGUACACAAAGACACAAUAACAAUUAGAUGUACACACAGACACAUCCUGAUUAUCCUCCUCAUGUCUCUUCUUCUUGUCUGCAGACCAACAGGACUUCAUCAGGACGCCACGCCAUCGGGACGCCAUCAGGACACCACGUCAUCGGGACGCCAUCAGGAUGCCACGUCAUCGGGACGCCCUCAGGACAAAUCUGAAUCGGGACGCCAUCAGGACGCCGCGUCAACCCCUCAGGAGCAAAUCCAGAUCUACUCAUGACACACACACACACACAGAUGAACUCAGACACACUAUCAUUUGGUUCUAAACAAUGACACACACUAAUAUUUAGAUGUACACAAAGACACAAUAACAAUUAGAUGUACACACAGACACACUAACAGUUAGAUCUACACACAGACACACUAACAAUUAGAUGUACACACAGACACACUAACAUUUGGUUCUAAACAAAGACACACUAACAUUUAGAUGUACACAAAGACACAUUAAUAUUUAGAUGUACACACAGACGCACUAACAAUUAGAUGUACACACACACACUAACAUUUGGUUCUAAACAAAGACACACACUAACAUUUAGAUGUACACAAAGACACAAUAACAAUUUGAUUUACACACAGACACACUAACAAUUAGAUGUACACACAGAGACAUCCUGAUGAUCUUCCUCAUGUCUCUUCUCCUUGUCUGCAGACCAACAGGACGCCAUCAGGACGCCACGCCAUCGGGACGCCAUCAGGACACCACAUCAUCGGGACACCAUCAGGACACCACGUCAUCGGGACGCCAUCAGGACGCCUAACAAUUAGAUGUACACACAGACACACUAACAAUUAGAUGUACACACAGACACACUAUCAUUUGGUUCUAAACAAUGACACACACUAAUAUUUAGAUGUACACACAGACACACUAACAGAUAGAUCUACACACAGACACACUAACAAUUAGAUGUACACACAGACACACUAUCAUUUGGUUCUAAACAAUGACACACACUAAUAUUUAGAUGUACACAAAGACACAAUAACAAUUAGAUGUACACACAGACACAUUAGUAUUCAGAAGUACACAAAAACACAAACAUCUGGUUCUGCACAAAGACACAUUAAUAUUUAAAUGUACACACAGACACACUAACAUUUAGAUGUACACACAGACACACUAACAAUUAGAUGUACACACAGACACACUAACAACAUUAACAUGUUAAUAACUUUUCUUCUUUUCUCUCUUCUCAGGAACUGCUUCAGAUGUUUUCCCAAUGAUUGUGUUAUUAUUAUUGUUAAAUAUGUCGUCUGUUUAUUAUUUUAACAAUGAAAAUACAUUUUAAUAAAAAUAAAACCAAAUGAAUCCGUCUUGUUUUCUUCAGACCAAAGAGAAUCA